Molecule: ribosomal RNA, 253 nt
Filed under: uncultured bacterium
Lineage: Bacteria
Description: partial 16S ribosomal RNA
Rfam family: Bacterial small subunit ribosomal RNA
Source: RNAcentral
GACGAACCGUGCGAACGUUGUUCGGAAUCACUGGGCAUAAAGGGCGCGUAGGCGGGCCGUAAAGUCAGGGGUGAAAUCCUCCAGCUUAACUGGAGAACUGCCUUUGAUACUGACGGCCUCGAGUGAGGUAGGGGCGUGUGGAACUGAUGGUGGAGCGGUGAAAUGUGUUGAUAUCAUCAGGAACUCCGGUGGCGAAAGCGACACGCUGGACCUCUACUGACGCUGAGGCGCGAAAGCGUGGGGAGCAAACGGG